CACCACGUUACCAUCAUAAUUCACAUUUCACAUUACUAUAUUAUUUAUUAUUAUUAUUACUUUUUCUAUGGCUUCAAAAGCUUAGGUGUGGUGGUGAAAUUUCCAUGCGCUCCCUUCCAUGCGCCUUAUUUAUGGAAGUGAACGAGACUAGGGUUUUCAUUGUGGUCAAGAGUUAUCUGUGUUCUUGGCUCUUGCUUUUGGCCUGUGUGGUCUACGUCAGUUCAUUAAUCUUGAGCUUAUCCUACAUGUUUAUGCAUCUCGAGGUUGGGGUUAAAAGAGUUCUUGUAAAAUCAGGAUGAAGAUCCAGUUUUAUGUUUCUGGUUUUAUGUAGCCAAUAAAACUGAGGUUUAACAGAUGACAUAAUAUUUACCACUAGGGUAUAGUUUUUGCGGGAAUGUAUCGCUUUAAUGCAUGUAUUUUACUGGAUUUGAAUUGUCAAAUUUAAACAAUCAAAUCUCCUUUUGUAGUUUCUGAAUCAUUGGAACGUGAUUUUACUUUGUUUUCCUAAUGUAACUCAAAUAAGAGGAUUUUACUUUAAGUCGUGAGGGUGUUUUGUUUUGAGGAAGGACUUGACUUCUGAAACUACUUGCUAUGGAUUAAAAAUAAAACCCUUCAUGAUUUAGAAUUGUUGUGGAAA
Long non-coding RNA from Cajanus cajan (pigeon pea), 637 nucleotides. RefSeq lists it as uncharacterized. The record is from RefSeq and is a predicted model, not a curated record. Lineage: Eukaryota; Viridiplantae; Streptophyta; Magnoliopsida; Fabales; Fabaceae.